UUAGAGUUUGAUCCUGGCUCAGAUUGAACGCUGGCGGCAGGCUUAACACAUGCAAGUCGAGCGGGGAAAGGUAGCUUGCUACCUGACCUAGCGGCGGACGGGUGAGUAAUGCUUAGGAAUCUGCCUAUUAGUGGGGGACAACAUUCCGAAAGGAAUGCUAAUACCGCAUACGCCCUACGGGGGAAAGCAGGGGAUCUUCGGACCUUGCGCUAAUAGAUGAGCCUAAGUCAGAUUAGCUAGUUGGUGGGGUAAAGGCCUACCAAGGCGACGAUCUGUAGCGGGUCUGAGAGGAUGAUCCGCCACACUGGGACUGAGACACGGCCCAGACUCCUACGGGAGGCAGCAGUGGGGAAUAUUGGACAAUGGGCGCAAGCCUGAUCCAGCCAUGCCGCGUGUGUGAAGAAGGCCUUUUGGUUGUAAAGCACUUUAAGCGAGGAGGAGGCUACUUAGAUUAAUACUCCUAGGAUAGUG
This 471-nucleotide ribosomal RNA is filed under the name Acinetobacter johnsonii. RNAcentral describes it as "bacterial SSU rRNA". It matches the Rfam family "Bacterial small subunit ribosomal RNA", at positions 1 to 477 of the family's 1533-position model. Lineage: Bacteria; Pseudomonadati; Pseudomonadota; Gammaproteobacteria; Moraxellales; Moraxellaceae. The record is from RNAcentral.